AGAGCGAAUGGUGGAUGCCUUGACUGGUAAAGGCGAUGAAGGACGUACUAGACUGCGAUAAGCUACGGGGAGCUGUCAAGAAGCUUUGAUCCGUAGAUUUCCGAAUGGGGCAACCCAAUGUAUAGAGAUAUACAUUACCUAUAUAGGAGCGAACGAGGGGAAUUGAAACAUCUUAGUACCCUCAGGAAAAGAAAUCAAUAGAGAUUGCGUCAGUAGCGGCGAGCGAAAGCGCAAGAGGGCAAACCCAGUGCUUGCACUGGGGGUUGUAGGACUGCAAUGUGCAAGAGGUAAGUUUAGCAGAACAUUCUGGAAAGUAUAACCAUAGAGGGUGAUAGUCCCGUAUGCGAAAAACAAACCUUAGCUAGCAGUAUCCUGAGUAGGGCGGGACACGAGGAAUCCUGUCUGAAUCCGGGUCGACCACGAUCCAACCCUAAAUACUAAUACCAGAUCGAUAGUGCACAAGUACCGUGAGGGAAAGGUGAAAAGAACUGAGGUGAUCAGAGUGAAAUAGAACCUGAAACCAUUUGCUUACAAUCAUUCAGAGCCCUAUGUAGCAAUACAGGGUGAUGGACUGCCUUUUGCAUAAUGAGCCUGCGAGUUGUGGUGUCUGGCAAGGUUAAGCAAACGCGAAGCCGUAGCGAAAGCGAGUCUGAAUAGGGCGCUUAGUCAGAUGCUGCAGACCCGAAACGAAGUGAUCUAUCCAUGAGCAAGUUGAAGCUAGUGUAAGAACUAGUGGAGGACUGAACCCAUAGGCGUUGAAAAGCCCCGGGAUGACUUGUGGAUAGGGGUGAAAGGCCAAUCAAACUUCGUGAUAGCUGGUUCUCUCCGAAAUAUAUUUAGGUAUAGCGUUGUGUCGUAAUAUAAGGGGGUAGAGCACUGAAUGGGCUAGGGCAUACACCAAUGUACCAAACCCUAUCAAACUCCGAAUACCUUAUAUGUAAUCACAGCAGUCAGGCGGCGAGUGAUAAAAUCCGUCGUCAAGAGGGAAACAACCCAGACUACCAGCUAAGGUCCCUAAAUCUUACUUAAGUGGAAAACGAUGUGAAGUUACUUAAACAACCAGGAGGUUGGCUUAGAAGCAGCCAUCCUUUAAAGAAAGCGUAAUAGCUCACUGGUCUAGUGAUUUUGCGCGGAAAAUAUAACGGGGCUAAAGUAAGUACCGAAGCUGUAGACUUGCACACAACUUAGAUUAUUUAAGUUUAGAAUAUGAGAAACUAAGUUAUAUGUUUAGUUAUAUUUUUACUGAUUUUUAUAGAGUAAAGAUAGAAAUAAAACUUAGUAAAAUCAGUAAAAAUAUUCUUAGACUAAAGUUAAGUAGUUUAAGUUGUGUGCAAGUGGUAGGAGAGCGUUCUAUUUGCGUCGAAGGUAUACCGGUAAGGAGUGCUGGAGCGAAUAGAAGUGAGCAUGCAGGCAUGAGUAGCGAUAAUUAAUGUGAGAAUCAUUAACGCCGUAAACCCAAGGUUUCCUACGCGAUGCUCGUCAUCGUAGGGUUAGUCGGGUCCUAAGUCGAGUCCGAAAGGGGUAGACGAUGGCAAAUUGGUUAAUAUUCCAAUACCAACAUUAGUGUGCGAUGGAAGGACGCUUAGGGCUAAGGGGGCUAGCGGAUGGAAGUGCUAGUCUAAGGUCGUAGGAGGUUGUACAGGCAAAUCCGUAUAACAAUACUCCGAGAACUGAAAGGCUUUUUGAAGUCUUCGGAUGGAUAGAAGAACCCCUGAUGCCGUCGAGCCAAGAAAAGUUUCUAAGUUUAGCUAAUGUUGCCCGUACCGUAAACCGACACAGGUGGGUGGGAUGAGUAUUCUAAGGCGCGUGGAAGAACUCUCUUUAAGGAACUCUGCAAAAUAGCACCGUAUCUUCGGUAUAAGGUGUGGUUAGCUUUGUAUUAGGAUUUACUCCGAAAGCAAGGAAACUUACAACAAAGAGUCCCUCCCGACUGUUUACCAAAAACACAGCACUCUGCUAACUCGUAAGAGGAUGUAUAGGGUGUGACGCCUGCCCGGUGCUCGAAGGUUAAUUGAUGGGGUUAGCAUUAGCGAAGCUCUUGAUCGAAGCCCGAGUAAACGGCGGCCGUAACUAUAACGGUCCUAAGGUAGCGAAAUUCCUUGUCGGUUAAAUACCGACCUGCAUGAAUGGCGUAACGAGAUGGGAGCUGUCUCAAAGAGGGAUCCAGUGAAAUUGUAGUGGAGGUGAAAAUUCCUCCUACCCGCGGCAAGACGGAAAGACCCCGUGGACCUUUACUACAGCUUGACACUGCUACUUGGAUAAGAAUGUGCAGGAUAGGUGGGAGGCUUUGAGUAUAUGACGCCAGUUGUAUAUGAGCCAUUGUUGAGAUACCACUCUUUCUUAUUUGGGUAGCUAACCAGCUUGAGUUAUCCUCAAGUGGGACAAUGUCUGGUGGGUAGUUUGACUGGGGCGGUCGCCUCCCAAAUAAUAACGGAGGCUUACAAAGGUUGGCUCAGAACGGUUGGAAAUCGUUCGUAGAGUAUAAAGGUAUAAGCCAGCUUAACUGCAAGACAUACAAGUCAAGCAGAGACGAAAGUCGGUCUUAGUGAUCCGGUGGUUCUGUGUGGAAGGGCCAUCGCUCAAAGGAUAAAAGGUACCCCGGGGAUAACAGGCUGAUCUCCCCCAAGAGCUCACAUCGACGGGGAGGUUUGGCACCUCGAUGUCGGCUCAUCGCAUCCUGGGGCUGGAGCAGGUCCCAAGGGUAUGGCUGUUCGCCAUUUAAAGCGGUACGCGAGCUGGGUUCAGAACGUCGUGAGACAGUUCGGUCCCUAUCUGCCGUGGGCGUAAGAAGAUUGAAGAGAUUUGACCCUAGUACGAGAGGACCGGGUUGAACAAACCACUGGUGUAGCUGUUGUUCUGCCAAGAGCAUCGCAGCGUAGCUAAGUUUGGAAAGGAUAAACGCUGAAAGCAUCUAAGCGUGAAGCCAACUCUAAGAUGAAUCUUCUCUAAGCUCUCUAGAAGACUACUAGUUUGAUAGGCUGGGUGUGUAAUGGAUGAAAGUCCUUUAGCUGACCAGUACUAAUAGAGCGUUUGGCUUAUCU
RNAcentral lists this ribosomal RNA (3041 nucleotides) under Campylobacter jejuni. RNAcentral describes it as "bacterial LSU rRNA". It matches the Rfam family "Bacterial large subunit ribosomal RNA". The record is from RNAcentral. Lineage: Bacteria; Pseudomonadati; Campylobacterota; Epsilonproteobacteria; Campylobacterales; Campylobacteraceae. RNAcentral also lists the same sequence under 1 other name.